GUCCACGAGGGACGGGGAAAGCUUGAAAGGAAGAGGGACCAGGCCAGACGCUUCAUGUCACAUCCCGACUGACACUCAGCUCGGGUUCUGCAGCCUAGAAUAGGAGACGCUGCGCCUGCCUUGCAGGACGCUAGGGAGUCGCUCCUUCGUCCCAGUCCCACAGUGGCCCCUGCCCCUGCCAGAGCUGCCCUCUCUGUGGGAGUCCCCAGCCAGAGUGAGAAGCCAGGAUGUGCGUCGGGGAAAGGGACCAGCCUCCAAGCAGGCGGCGGAUCAAGCGCUGCUUCACGGCAAAGGAGAGGAGACAGCGUCCAUAGUCUAAGAGAAACCCUCCAAGUGGCAGC
RNAcentral lists this long non-coding RNA (341 nucleotides) under Homo sapiens (human). RNAcentral describes it as "LHRI_LNC928.1". The record is from RNAcentral. Lineage: Eukaryota; Metazoa; Chordata; Mammalia; Primates; Hominidae.